Molecule: ribosomal RNA, 633 nt
Filed under: Triticum aestivum (bread wheat)
Lineage: Eukaryota; Viridiplantae; Streptophyta; Magnoliopsida; Poales; Poaceae
Description: partial small subunit ribosomal RNA
Source: RNAcentral
AUGGUGGCCGAGGACAAGCUCCUUUGUGAGUGUUGGAGGGACAUUGGGCAAGACCCCAAGGUCGGCACCAAACAAAAGGCAUCAACCUUUUGGAUUCGUGUCCACCGUGAGUUCCAUGAGCACGAGAAGUUUCCGCCGUACCAAAUGCAAAGCACGCGCGGGUGGGUGUCCAUUUCGAAGCGAUGGAGGGUGAUCCAACAAGAGUGCAACAAGUUUUGUGUCACUCUUGAGAACGUCAAGGCCCGCCCCGUGAGCGGCAUCGACAUGUAAUACAUGGUAUGCAAGCGUCCCUCUUUUGUGUCAUUCUGUUUAUACUUGCAUGUCCAUUUCCAUGUCCAUUUUGCCAAUAUGCUUGCAUGCAAUACAUUUGUAGGCAUUCCAAGCUUUGGAGGCAUUCAAGGUCCAACACGACGGCAAGUGCUUCAACCUCUCCCAUUGUUGGAGGGUCAUCAAAGACGAGGAGAAGUUCAAGGCGCAAUAUGUCGCCCUCAAGUCGCGUGGGGGGAAGAGGGCCGUGGAGGAGGAAGGCGGCGAGAAGCCACGCCCGCGGGGGAAGACCGACUCCAAGAAGGAGGACAAGCGGGAUGCGGCGUCGAACGUGUUGGUCGCAAGCGUGGAGGGCAUGAUGAGUAA